UGAGUGGCGGACGGGUGAGUAACGCGUGGGCAACCUGGCCUGUACAGGGGGAUAACACUUAGAAAUAGGUGCUAAUGCCGCAUAACGGGGGAAGCCGCAUGGCUUUUCCCUGAAAACUCCGGUGGUACAGGAUGGGCCCGCGUCUGAUUAGCCAGUUGGCAGGGUAACGGCCUACCAAAGCGACGAUCAGUAGCCGGCCUGAGAGGGCGGACGGCCACACUGGGACUGAGACACGGCCCAGACUCCUACGGGAGGCAGCAG
RNAcentral lists this ribosomal RNA (261 nucleotides) under uncultured bacterium. Its description in RNAcentral is "partial 16S ribosomal RNA". It matches the Rfam family "Bacterial small subunit ribosomal RNA", at positions 92 to 354 of the family's 1533-position model. The record is from RNAcentral.